GCCAUCAUAGUUCAGCUGGCAGAACACGACCUUGGUACGGUUGAGACCCGGAUUCGAUAACCGGUGAAGGCACCA
This 75-nucleotide transfer RNA is filed under the name Gammaproteobacteria bacterium. Its description in RNAcentral is "tRNA-Thr". It matches the Rfam family "tRNA". From Rfam's summary of the family: Transfer RNA (tRNA) molecules are approximately 80 nucleotides in length. Their secondary structure includes four short double-helical elements and three loops (D, anti-codon, and T loops). Further hydrogen bonds mediate the characteristic L-shaped molecular structure. tRNAs have two regions of fundamental functional importance: the anti-codon, which is responsible for specific mRNA codon recognition, and the 3' end, to which the tRNAs corresponding amino acid is attached (by aminoacyl-tRNA synthetases). tRNAs cope with the degeneracy of the genetic code in two manners: having more than one tRNA (with a specific anti-codon) for a particular amino acid; and 'wobble' base-pairing, i.e. permitting non-standard base-pairing at the 3rd anti-codon position. Lineage: Bacteria; Pseudomonadati; Pseudomonadota; Gammaproteobacteria. The record is from RNAcentral.